GUUGCAAAUGGCUCGUCGAACUUGUAGUUGAUCGUUGUUGUAGUUGUCUCAUUUCUUAAUUCGCCAUCAGAGGACAGAGAUUUCUUGAGCUUUUCCUGUAUUGAUCACUUCAAAAUCGCCUAUCAAAAUGAAGCGUCUUCUGGUUCUAUAUCUGGUUGCAAUUAUUCUAAUGGCUGAAUGUAUGGAUAACUAUGGAGUAGUUGCUCAGGUUUGUAGUCGCCGCCGUUCCGCUCGGCUAUCAACUUCUCAUGAAGACUGUGAUCAUGAUGAGAAAAAUGAGAUCGGAGUUAAAGACGAAGUUUACGACGUGGACAAGACCUUGACUCAUCACAAAAAUCGAGAAGAUAGAAACCUGCUUUUUGAACCUGAAAAUGAUUGAACGCAAGAUAGAGUUGUAAUAAUAUCCCAAGACACUCCCGAAAUGUCUCUCUGAUACACAGCUGAAUUCAUUCUAACAUCAAAAACCUUUUUUGGAAGCCAUUUUAUCAGGGGCCCCUUUUUCACAGAAAAUUUCGAUAGACACCCGGCAAGAUUGUAAUACAAGCACUAGGAGAAGCUCUGUUAAAACAAAAUGAGCAUCAUGUUGAUCAAUUGAAAGUUUUGUUGUCGCACUUAUUUGACUGUUUUUUGUCUUUUUAUAUAUUAAGUCUUACAAUUCAUCUCGUUAAGUGAGUGGUCUAGACUUAAUUGAUGUAGUUUGUAGAUUUUUAUGAGUGUUUUUCAUAAAUGUUCUUUGUCAUCAAUUACUUAUGUUAGGACACCAUUGGAAAUAAGCCAUCUCGGUAUUUGUUUAUACUUCAUUUAUUUUAUUCAUGUACUUGUUAUAUUUUACCUGACAAAUAAAACCAAUCAAUCAAUC
Long non-coding RNA from Lytechinus pictus (painted urchin), 859 nucleotides. RefSeq lists it as uncharacterized. The transcript has 3 exons. NCBI's taxonomy places the organism in Eukaryota, Metazoa, Echinodermata, Echinoidea, Temnopleuroida, Toxopneustidae. The record is from RefSeq and is a predicted model, not a curated record.